GUCACAGUCCCUCUUGUGCUGGGGUAUCGCUCAUCUCUGCAUUUCUAGGUGCCGCCGAUUUCGUUUCGUAAUUCUAUCUUCGUAGUGCAGUGACGUAAAUAUCUUUGUUUUUUUAAUGUGAUUUAUCUAUUUAAUUGAUUAUUGUUCUUCUCACAAAACAAUAUUUGAUGUGUUCUUGAGCUCCAUUGGAUGUUUUGUGGUUUUUGCUAAAAUGCAAAUUGUUACCAUCCUAUUGUCUGUUUUCUUGCUGGGAUAUGGAGGAAAUAUUAUGGAAAUUGAUGGAAAUUUAAGCAAUGGAGCUGCUAAUUUUUUGAAAUUGUAAUAAUUGGUUGGGGGCUUUUGCGCUAUUGUUUUUCCUGGAGGCUUUCUUUCUUUCUUUCUUUUAUUU
Molecule: unclassified non-coding RNA, 388 nt
Filed under: Hevea brasiliensis (rubber tree)
Lineage: Eukaryota; Viridiplantae; Streptophyta; Magnoliopsida; Malpighiales; Euphorbiaceae
Source: RNAcentral